RNAcentral lists this ribosomal RNA (468 nucleotides) under uncultured bacterium. RNAcentral describes it as "partial 16S ribosomal RNA". It matches the Rfam family "Bacterial small subunit ribosomal RNA", at positions 28 to 507 of the family's 1533-position model. The record is from RNAcentral.
GACGAACGCUGGCGGCGUGCUUAACACAUGCAAGUCGAACGGAAAGGCCCUGCUUUUGUGGGGUGCUCGAGUGGCGAACGGGUGAGUAACACGUGAGUAACCUGCCCUUGACUUUGGGAUAACUUCAGGAAACUGGGGCUAAUACCGGAUAGGAGCUCCUGCUGCAUGGUGGGGGUUGGAAAGUUUCGGCGGUUGGGGAUGGACUCGCGGCUUAUCAGCUUGUUGGUGGGGUAGUGGCUUACCAAGGCUUUGACGGGUAGCCGGCCUGAGAGGGUGACCGGCGACAUUGGGACUGAGAGAGGGCCCAGACUGCUACGGGAGGCAGCAGUGGGGAAUAUUGCACAGUGGGCGGAAGCCUGAUGCAGCAACGCCGCGUGCGGGAUGACGGCCUUCGGGUUGUAAACCGCUUUCGCCUGUGACGAAGCGUGAGUGACGGUAAUGGGUAAAGAAGCACCGGCUAACUACGUG